Molecule: ribosomal RNA, 254 nt
Filed under: uncultured bacterium
Lineage: Bacteria
Description: partial 16S ribosomal RNA
Rfam family: Bacterial small subunit ribosomal RNA
Source: RNAcentral
UACGUAGGCAGCAAGCGUUGUUCGGAGUUACUGGGCGUAAAGGGUGCGUAGGCGGCUUUUUAAGUUUGGUGUGAAAUCUCCCGGCUCAACUGGGAGGGUGCGCCGAAUACUGAGAGGCUAGAGUGUGGGAGAGGAAAGUGGAAUUCCUGGUGUAGCGGUGAAAUGCGUAGAUAUCCGGAGGAAUACCAAAGGCGAAGGCAGUGUCCUGGAGGGUUAACUGACGCUGAGGCGCGAAAGCUAGGGGAGCGAACAGG